RNAcentral lists this ribosomal RNA (297 nucleotides) under uncultured soil bacterium. RNAcentral describes it as "partial 16S ribosomal RNA". It matches the Rfam family "Bacterial small subunit ribosomal RNA", at positions 26 to 323 of the family's 1533-position model. The record is from RNAcentral.
AGAUUGAACGCUGGCGGCAGGCCUAACACAUGCAAGUCGAGCGGUAGAGAGGUGCUUGCACCUCUUGAGAGCGGCGGACGGGUGAGUAAUGCCUAGGAAUCUGCCUAGUGGUGGGGGAUAACGUUCGGAAACGGACGCUAAUACCGCAUACGUCCUACGGGAGAAAGCGGGGGACCGUUCGGGCCUCGCGCCAUUAGAUGAGCCUAGGUCGGAUUAGCUAGUUGGUGAGGUAAUGGCUCACCAAGGCGACGAUCCGUAACUGGUCUGAGAGGGAUGAUCAGUCACACUGGAACUGAG